This 449-nucleotide ribosomal RNA is filed under the name uncultured prokaryote. Its description in RNAcentral is "bacterial SSU rRNA". It matches the Rfam family "Bacterial small subunit ribosomal RNA", at positions 355 to 796 of the family's 1533-position model. The record is from RNAcentral.
UGGGGAAUUUUGCGCAAUGGGCGGAAGCCUGACGCAGCGACGCCGCGUGUACGAUGAAGGCCUUUGGGUCGUAAAGUACUGUCAACGGGGACGAACGCCUCAGGUUGAAUAGGUUUGAGGUCUGACGGUACCCGUGGAGGAAGCACCGGCUAACUCUGUGCCAGCAGCCGCGGUAAUACAGAGGGUGCAAACGUUGCUCGGAAUGACUGGGCGUAAAGCGCGCGCAGGUGGCCCGUUAAGUUGGCUGUGAAAUCCCCUGGCUCAACCAGGGAAGUGCAGUCGAUACUGGCGGGCUUGAGUCCGGGGGAGGUGAGUGGAAUUCCUAGUGUAGAGGUGAAAUUCGUAGAUAUUAGGAAGAACACCAGUGGCGAAGGCGGCUCACUGGCCCGGUACUGACGCUGAGGCGCGAAAGCGUGGGGAGCAAACAGGAUUAGAUACCCCCGUAGUCC